AGAGUUUGAUCAUGGCUCAGAUUGAACGCUGGCGGCAUGCCUUACACAUGCAAGUCGAGCGGCAGCGCGGGGGCAACCCUGGCGGCGAGCGGCGCACGGGUGAGUAAUGCAUCGGAACGUGUCCUCUUGUGGGGGAUAACCAGUCGAAAGACUGGCUAAUACCGCAUGAGAUCGAGAGAUGAAAGCAGGGGACCCGCAAGGCCUUGCGCGAGAGGAGCGGCCGAUGCCCGAUUAGCUAGUUGGCGGGGUAAUGGCCCACCAAGGCGACGAUCGGUAGCUGGUCUGAGAGGACGACCAGCCACACUGGGACUGAGACACGGCCCAGACUCCUACGGGAGGCAGCAGUGGGGAAUUUUGGACAAUGGGGGCAACCCUGAUCCAGCCAUGCCGCGUGUGUGAAGAAGGCCUUCGGGUUGUAAAGCACUUUCGGACGGAACGAAAUUGCACGGGCGAAUAUCCCGUGUAGAUGACGGUACCGUAAGAAGAAGCACCGGCUAACUACGUGCCAGCAGCCGCGGUAAUACGUAGGGUGCGAGCGUUAAUCGGAAUUACUGGGCGUAAAGUGUGCGCAGGCGGCUGAGCAAGUCGAGUGUGAAAGCCCCGAGCUUAACUUGGGAAUUGCGCUCGAAACUACUUGGCUGGAGUGUGGCAGAGGAAGGUGGAAUUCCACGUGUAGCGGUGAAAUGCGUAGAGAUGUGGAGGAACACCAAUGGCGAAGGCAGCCUUCUGGGCCAACACUGACGCUCAUGCACGAAAGCGUGGGGAGCAAACAGGAUUAGAUACCCCAGUAGUCC
This 794-nucleotide ribosomal RNA is filed under the name uncultured bacterium. RNAcentral describes it as "bacterial SSU rRNA". It matches the Rfam family "Bacterial small subunit ribosomal RNA", at positions 8 to 796 of the family's 1533-position model. The record is from RNAcentral.